GACGAACGCUGGCGGCGUGCUUAACACAUGCAAGUCGAACGGAAAGGCCCUGCUUUUGUGCGGUGCUCGAGUGGCGAACGGGUGAGUAACACGUGAGUAACCUGCCCUUGACUUUGGGAUAACUUCAGGAAACUGGGGCUCAUACCGGAUAGGAGCUCCUGCUGCAUGGUGGUGGUUGGAAAGUUUCGGCGUUUGGGGAUGGACUCGCGGCUUAUCCGCUUGUUGGUGGGGUAGUGGCUGACCAAGGCUUUGACGGGUAGCCGGCCUGAGAGGGUGACCGGCGACAUUGGGACUGAGAUACGGCGCAGACUCCUACGGGAGGCAGCAGUGGGGAAUAUUGCACAAUGGGCGGAAGCGUGAGGCAGCAACGCCGCGUGCAGGAUGACGGCCUUCGGGUUGUAAACCGCUUUCGCCUGUGACGAAGCGGGAGUGACGGUAAUGGGUAAAGAAGCACCGGCUAACUACGUG
Molecule: ribosomal RNA, 468 nt
Filed under: uncultured bacterium
Lineage: Bacteria
Description: partial 16S ribosomal RNA
Rfam family: Bacterial small subunit ribosomal RNA
Source: RNAcentral